UACGUAGGUGGCGAGCGUUGUCCGGAUUUACUGGGCGUAAAGGGAGCGUAGGCGGACUUUUAAGUGAGAUGUGAAAUACCCGGGCUUAACUUGGGUGCUGCAUUUCAAACUGGAAGUCUAGAGUGCAGGAGAGGAGAAUGGAAUUCCUAGUGUAGCGGUGAAAUGCGUAGAGAUUAGGAAGAACACCAGUGGCGAAGGCGGCUUCCUGGUCUGUAACUGACACUGAGGCGCGAAAGCGUGGGGAGCAAACAGGAUUAGAUACCCCCGUACGUCCCUCGA
RNAcentral lists this ribosomal RNA (279 nucleotides) under uncultured prokaryote. RNAcentral describes it as "partial 16S ribosomal RNA". It matches the Rfam family "Bacterial small subunit ribosomal RNA", at positions 524 to 800 of the family's 1533-position model. The record is from RNAcentral.